This 406-nucleotide ribosomal RNA is filed under the name uncultured bacterium. RNAcentral describes it as "partial 16S ribosomal RNA". It matches the Rfam family "Bacterial small subunit ribosomal RNA", at positions 30 to 526 of the family's 1533-position model. The record is from RNAcentral.
AUUGAACGCUGGCGGCAUGCCUAACACAUGCAAGUCGAGCGAGCGGCGGACGGGUGAGUAAUGUCUGGGACACUGCCUGAUGGAGGGGGAUAACGACUGGAAACGGUAGCUAAUACCGCAUACCAUCAGAUGUGCCCAGAUGGGAUUAGCUUGUAGGUGGGGUAAUGGCUCACCUCGGCGACGAUCCCUAGCUGGUCUGGGAGGAUGACCAGCCACACGGGAACUGAGACACGGUCCAGACUCCUACGGGAGGCAGCAGUGGGGAAUAUUGCACAAUGGGCGCAAGCCUGAUGCAGCCAUGCCGCGUGUAUGAAUAAGGCCUUCGGGUUGUAAAGUACUUUCAGCGAGGAGGCGUUACUCGCAGAAGAAGCACCGGCUAACUCCGUGCCAGCAGCCGCGGUAAUAC